This 87-nucleotide unclassified non-coding RNA is filed under the name Pseudomonas psychrophila. The record is from RNAcentral. Lineage: Bacteria; Pseudomonadati; Pseudomonadota; Gammaproteobacteria; Pseudomonadales; Pseudomonadaceae.
UAUGGGAGCGGGCUUGCUCGCGAUUGGAUCGCUGCGGUGUAUCAGGAUAAUCGCGCUGAUGCCAUCGCGAGCAAGCCCGCUCCCACA